Molecule: long non-coding RNA, 810 nt
Organism: Zea mays
Lineage: Eukaryota; Viridiplantae; Streptophyta; Magnoliopsida; Poales; Poaceae
Exons: 3
Source: RefSeq, marked validated
ACUAUAGUGAAAAAAAAUCCGAACAAAGAAUCCAUGGUGGUGGAAUUUCGGAUCAAUAUAAGUGGCGGAGUUGGGAUUGGUUCUUGGUGCAAAAGCAAGAGCAAAAGAUCAUCUCUAUCCGUAUCCUAGCUUUGGUGGUCCGCAGAACAGGUGGUUAAGAAUAGGGAGAAACAAGGGUUAGGUGGCAGAGGAGGCAGUGAAAUCCGGCCAAAUCUCGACGCAAUUUUUCUUGCCGAUUGCUGGUGCGUAGUAAGAUCGUAGCUGAAUCCGUAGGACGGGCGCUAAUCGGAGGAACUUGCAUCGAUUCUUGCGUGCUGACGGUACCGGCAAGGCGGCAAGAUAAGAGUUGGUGCCUGCCGAUUGCAGGGACAGGGACGGUGUUUGUGGAAUUGCCUCCUUGGAGGAGGCUGGUGAGAGGGAGAAAGGAUGACGAUGCCAUGGGGUCUCGCGGCCUGCAUCGUGGACAUGGUGUGGGCGGUGCUCGCCGGCUGGGUGUCCACCUGCCUGGUCAUCGCCAACGAGGUCGCCCGCGGCAUGCGCAGUGGCGAGAUCGGUCCGUUCGUUGUCGGCUGAGUUAUUCGAUCGGCUUUAGGUGGCUCAGUUGUUCCUGCAUUCUCGAUAGUGUAUUUUUCGUACCGGUACAUUUCAUACACAUCGCUAUGCUGUACAGACGGCGUUGAGGACUGGAGGAUGACUUUUGUUUCUAGGAUUUUGAGUUGUAGUGAGUGUUUGUGCAAUCACACAAGAACAAACAUGUGAAUAUGUGAUGUACUUUCAGUGGUAUAUAAACGGGAUGGUCCUAUAAAAUAA